Molecule: ribosomal RNA, 1370 nt
Filed under: uncultured bacterium
Lineage: Bacteria
Description: bacterial SSU rRNA
Rfam family: Bacterial small subunit ribosomal RNA
Source: RNAcentral
GAUGAACGCUGGCGGCGUGCCUAAUACAUGCAAGUCGAGCGAACGGACGAGAAGCUUGCUUCUCUGAUGUUAGCGGCGGACAGGUGAGUAACACGUGGAUAACCUACCUAUAAGACUGGGAUAACUUCGGGAAACCGGAGCUAAUACCGGAUAAUAUUUUGAACCGCAUGGUUCAAAAGUGAAAGACGGUCUUGCUGUCACUUAUAGAUGGAUCCGCGCUGCAUUAGCUAGUUGGUAAGGUAACGGCUUACCAAGGCAACGAUGCAUAGCCGACCUGAGAGGGUGAUCGGCCACACUGGAACUGAGACACGGUCCAGACUCCUACGGGAGGCAGCAGUAGGGAAUCUUCCGCAAUGGGCGAAAGCCUGACGGAGCAACGCCGCGUGAGUGAUGAAGGUCUUCGGAUCGUAAAACUCUGUUAUUAGGGAAGAACAUAUGUGUAAGUAACUGUGCACAUCUUGACGGUACCUAAUCAGAAAGCCACGGCUAACUACGUGCCAGCAGCCGCGGUAAUACGUAGGUGGCAAGCGUUAUCCGGGAUUAUUGGGCGUAAAGCGCGCGUAGCGGUUUUUUAGUCUGAUGUGAAAGCCCACGGCUCAACCGUGGAGGGUCAUUGGAAACUGGAAAACUUGAGUGCAGAAGAGGAAAGUGGAAUUCCAUGUGUAGCGGUGAAAUGCGCAGAGAUAUGGAGGAACACCAGUGGCGAAGGCGACUUUCUGGUCUGUAACUGACGCUGAUGUGCGAAAGCGUGGGGAUCAAACAGGAUUAGAUACCCUGGUAGUCCACGCCGUAAACGAUGAGUGCUAAGUGUUAGGGGGUUUCCGCCCCUUAGUGCUGCAGCUAACGCAUUAAGCACUCCGCCUGGGGAGUACGACCGCAAGGUUGAAACUCAAAGGAAUUGACGGGGACCCGCACAAGCGGUGGAGCAUGUGGUUUAAUUCGAAGCAACGCGAAGAACCUUACCAAAUCUUGACAUCCUUUGACAACUCUAGAGAUAGAGCUUUCCCCUUCGGGGGACAAAGUGACAGGUGGUGCAUGGUUGUCGUCAGCUCGUGUCGUGAGAUGUUGGGUUAAGUCCCGCAACGAGCGCAACCCUUAAGCUUAGUUGCCAUCAUUAAGUUGGGCACUCUAAGUUGACUGCCGGUGACAAACCGGAGGAAGGUGGGGAUGACGUCAAAUCAUCAUGCCCCUUAUGAUUUGGGCUACACACGUGCUACAAUGGACAAUACAAAGGGCAGCGAAACCGCGAGGUCAAGCAAAUCCCAUAAAGUUGUUCUCAGUUCGGAUUGUAGUCUGCAACUCGACUACAUGAAGCUGGAAUCGCUAGUAAUCGUAGAUCAGCAUGCUACGGUGAAUACGUUCCCGGGUCU